This 422-nucleotide ribosomal RNA is filed under the name uncultured Gammaproteobacteria bacterium. RNAcentral's name for it is "bacterial SSU rRNA". It matches the Rfam family "Bacterial small subunit ribosomal RNA", at positions 930 to 1487 of the family's 1533-position model. The record is from RNAcentral. Lineage: Bacteria; Pseudomonadati; Pseudomonadota; Gammaproteobacteria.
CGGUGGAGCAUGUGGUUUAAUUCGAAGCAACGCGAAGAACCUUACCUGGCCUUGACAUCCAAUGAACUUUCCAGAGAUGAUGUCCGCAUUAACAGGUGUGACGAGCGCAACCCUUGUCCUUAGUUACCAGCGGGAUGUCAAGUAUCAUGGCCCUUACGGCCUGGCUACAUACAUGGUCGGUACAAGGGUCGCCAAGCCGCGAGGUGGAGCUUCUCACAAAACCGAUCGUAGUCCGGAUCGCAGUGCAACUCGACUGCAUGAAGUCGGAAUCGCUAGUAAUCGGAAUCAGAAUGUCGCGGUGAAUACGUUCCCGGGCCUUGUACACACCGCCGUCACACCAUGGGAGUGGGUUGCACCAGAAGUAGCUAGUCUAACCUUCGGGAGGACGGUUACCACGUGUGAUUCAUGACUGGGGUGAAGUC